ACAGGUCUUCGGAUGCUGACGAGUGGCGAACGGGUGAGUAAUACAUCGGAACGUGCCCGAUCGUGGGGGAUAACGAGGCGAAAGCUUUGCUAAUACCGCAUACGAUCUACGGAUGAAAGCGGGGGAUCUUCGGACCUCGCGCGGACGGAGCGGCCGAUGGCAGAUUAGGUAGUUGGUAGGGUAAAAGCCUACCAAGGCAUCGAUCCGUAACUGGUCUGAGAGGAUGAUCAGUCACACUGGAACUGAGACACGGUCCAGACUCCUACGGGAGGCAGCAGUGGGGAAUAUUGGACAAUGGGCGAAAGCCUGAUCCAGCCAUGCCGCGUGUGUGAAGAAGGUCUUCGGAUUGUAAAGCACUUUAAGUUGGGAGGAAGGGCAGUAAAUUAAUACUUUGCUGUUUUGACGUUACCGACAGAAUAAGCACCGGCUAACUCUGUUCCAGCAGCCGCGGUAAU
Molecule: ribosomal RNA, 455 nt
Filed under: uncultured bacterium
Lineage: Bacteria
Description: bacterial SSU rRNA
Rfam family: Bacterial small subunit ribosomal RNA
Source: RNAcentral